CGGCGAAUGGGUGAGUAACACGUGCUUAAUCUACCUCUUAGAUUGGAAUACCUAAUGGAAACAUUGGUUAAUGCCGGAUACGCAUGGAGUCGCAUGACUCCGUUGUGAAAGGGGCCUUUAAAGCUCCACUAAGAGAUGAGGGUGCGGAACAUUAGCUAGUUGGUGAGGUAACGGCCCACCAAGGCUAUGAUGUUUAGCCGGGUCGAGAGACUGAACGGCCACAUUGGGACUGAGAUACGGCCCAAACUCC
This 250-nucleotide ribosomal RNA is filed under the name uncultured Mycoplasma sp. RNAcentral describes it as "partial 16S ribosomal RNA". It matches the Rfam family "Bacterial small subunit ribosomal RNA", at positions 96 to 339 of the family's 1533-position model. Lineage: Bacteria; Bacillati; Mycoplasmatota; Mollicutes; Mycoplasmatales; Mycoplasmataceae. The record is from RNAcentral.